Molecule: ribosomal RNA, 1185 nt
Filed under: Staphylococcus aureus subsp. aureus 21338
Lineage: Bacteria; Bacillati; Bacillota; Bacilli; Caryophanales; Staphylococcaceae
Description: bacterial SSU rRNA
Rfam family: Bacterial small subunit ribosomal RNA
Source: RNAcentral
CUGAUGUUAGCGGCGGACGGGUGAGUAACACGUGGAUAACCUACCUAUAAGACUGGGAUAACUUCGGGAAACCGGAGCUAAUACCGGAUAAUAUUUUGAACCGCAUGGUUCAAAAGUGAAAGACGGUCUUGCUGUCACUUAUAGAUGGAUCCGCGCUGCAUUAGCUAGUUGGUAAGGUAACGGCUUACCAAGGCAACGAUGCAUAGCCGACCUGAGAGGGUGAUCGGCCACACUGGAACUGAGACACGGUCCAGACUCCUACGGGAGGCAGCAGUAGGGAAUCUUCCGCAAUGGGCGAAAGCCUGACGGAGCAACGCCGCGUGAGUGAUGAAGGUCUUCGGAUCGUAAAACUCUGUUAUUAGGGAAGAACAUAUGUGUAAGUAACUGUGCACAUCUUGACGGUACCUAAUCAGAAAGCCACGGCUAACUACGUGCCAGCAGCCGCGGUAAUACGUAGGUGGCAAGCGUUAUCCGGAAUUAUUGGGCGUAAAGCGCGCGUAGGCGGUUUUUUAAGUCUGAUGUGAAAGCCCACGGCUCAACCGUGGAGGGUCAUUGGAAACUGGAAAACUUGAGUGCAGAAGAGGAAAGUGGAAUUCCAUGUGUAGCGGUGAAAUGCGCAGAGAUAUGGAGGAACACCAGUGGCGAAGGCGACUUUCUGGUCUGUAACUGACGCUGAUGUGCGAAAGCGUGGGGAUCAAACAGGAUUAGAUACCCUGGUAGUCCACGCCGUAAACGAUGAGUGCUAAGUGUUAGGGGGUUUCCGCCCCUUAGUGCUGCAGCUAACGCAUUAAGCACUCCGCCUGGGGAGUACGACCGCAAGGUUGAAACUCAAAGGAAUUGACGGGGACCCGCACAAGCGGUGGAGCAUGUGGUUUAAUUCGAAGCAACGCGAAGAACCUUACCAAAUCUUGACAUCCUUUGACAACUCUAGAGAUAGAGCUUUCCCCUUCGGGGGACAAAGUGACAGGUGGUGCAUGGUUGUCGUCAGCUCGUGUCGUGAGAUGUUGGGUUAAGUCCCGCAACGAGCGCAACCCUUAAGCUUAGUUGCCAUCAUUAAGUUGGGCACUCUAAGUUGACUGCCGGUGACAAACCGGAGGAAGGUGGGGAUGACGUCAAAUCAUCAUGCCCCUUAUGAUUUGGGCUACACACGUGCUACAAUGGACAAUACAAAGGGCAGCGAAACCG